This 359-nucleotide unclassified non-coding RNA is filed under the name Hevea brasiliensis (rubber tree). Lineage: Eukaryota; Viridiplantae; Streptophyta; Magnoliopsida; Malpighiales; Euphorbiaceae. The record is from RNAcentral.
GAAGAUACAGCAAAUCACAUUACUUCGAUGGGUAAUUGCAAAAACAAUGAUUCGUUAGCAUGUUACUCAUCCGUACCACAAACCAUCUAAUCUAAUGACAUCACUUGGCAUUUUGAGUAGCCUGCAAGCAGACUGAAAGGAGUAACUUAAAGUACAAACAUGCAGAACAUACUUCAUUUAAGAGCCUCAUUUAUAUAUUCACACUUCUUGAAAGUUGAAAAAAAAAUCCAAAAAAUUUUUCACAAAUGAGAAACUAAUUCAGUAAUGGCAGUUUUAAGGGCCAAAAAAGUAGCCCUAAUGAUAUUGGGUGGUUUGCAGAAGUACCCACUCACAUAUUUGAGAUUUAUACUUGAAAUUGC